AUUAAGUGAAAAAAAGUCCAAAUAUUAAAAAUUGUUUUAACAUGUAAUUGGGGGAAAAAGAAAAAAAAAAUUAAAAACCACCAUUGAAAAAAAAACAAAACCCUGAGUUUUCUCAUAGAACCCUCCUUCAUACUCCCCCUCCCCAAUCACCAAGGUGACCACGGCACAGCUGGGUUUGGCUGCCUGGCAACAACAUACCCCUCCCCCUUCCCUUUCUCCUCCCCUUUGCCCAGAGCUCCCCCUUGUCUGAUGCUCUUUUAUGAUGCCUAUCAGCAGCCCCUCUGCUUUUUUUCUUUUCUUCUUAAGGCUUAUCCUUGAUGCUAAUUUUUGACCUGAUUUGAUUCCAUUUGGAUAAAAACUCAUAAAAAGGGAAAAUGGAGGCAUUGGGAUACAUAAAAAGUGGAAGACCUUGUUUGCCCAAGAAAAAUUCCUCCACGAUGGACCAGGUUGGGGAUAAUAACAGAGGGGGCAGAUUAAUUACUGGCUGGCUAUUCCUGUUCCAAAUAUGUGGAGUGCUAAAAAUGCAUGACUGAUCCUUCAUCCUCAGCAGGUUCUGGCUAAAUCUACCUGGAAGAAGCAAUAAGAGGAAUUGGGUGUCCUGUCUUUCUGUUGCCUGUGUGCUGUGCAUGGGCCCAUCUGGAUUAUUAAAUCACUUGCUCAGGG
This 663-nucleotide long non-coding RNA is filed under the name Phascolarctos cinereus (koala). RNAcentral's name for it is "lncRNA (ENSPCIG00000004826.2)". Lineage: Eukaryota; Metazoa; Chordata; Mammalia; Diprotodontia; Phascolarctidae. The record is from RNAcentral.